Molecule: long non-coding RNA, 315 nt
Filed under: Elaeis guineensis (African oil palm)
Lineage: Eukaryota; Viridiplantae; Streptophyta; Magnoliopsida; Arecales; Arecaceae
Description: long non-coding RNA (EGUI_LNC070798)
Source: RNAcentral
AGGGGUCAUCCUAGGUGGGUCAUCCCACUGCAUGGGUCUUCCCAAGUGGAUCAUCCCACUGCAUGUCAUGAGUCAAAAUAAAGCGUACCGGCCGCUCAAUGAAAAGGGAUGACCUAGAUGGGUCGCCCUAUAUUGUUGCAACCCAAUUUUUUAUGUAUUUAAGGUUUGAAACUUACCAUAAUACUUUCAAAUGCUCUCAAAUAGAUUCAAAUCAAUUUGACACUCUCAAAAGGUUUCAAAAACUUCUCCAAGUUGUAGAAACUUCAAUUUUGGCACACUUGAUGAAACUUUUCAAACUCAAUCUUUUAGACUAUC